UGCGGUUAUCGUGGUGAAUUAUAUGGAAAUUUCAUAAACUUGAGAACAAAAACUUCUGUUGCUACUGCAUGCUUCUCGUCCGGCAAGGAAGGCAUAAGAUUCUUCACUUUUCCAAGGGAUCCAGCACGUGGGGUGCUGUGGUGAAUACCUGGCAACAGCUGUUUGGUGAUCACCUUGUGAACACAUUUGAAGCUAUUCGUUUGUAGUCUGGUUUGAACAAUAAUCCAACUGUGGGACAGUUUGUAGAUGCCCUGAAGACUAACAUCAUCAGUGCACUUGCUAUCAGAGGUCUGUGUGGAACUAGUUGUGAGGAUGAUGGUGCUACUGUUGUGUGUAACCUAUAGUCAUUGUUCAGGGCACCUGAUGCUUCUUCACCAAAUCUGUCCACAAGUCAUGGCAAGGAAACCCCUGAUGAAUUUCCUGAGUUUCCAUGUUACUCAACAAGUACAGAAGGACAUGGUUGCUGCAGUACAUGCUGGUGACAUGGAAGUGUUCUCAGUAGCCUAUGUCAGUGGUUCCAUUGCCAGACAGGUGCUUCAUGGUGUCAGCUGUGAUGCACACAAGACAUGCGUGACAUCUGAAGUGCUGCUAUCAGCCAAUAUCUUCAUAUAUUUCUGAGACGUUGGUGUGGAGACUGUUGGUAUGCUGUAACUCUAAUAUAAUCUGUGAUGGUAGGCAAUUCAAUUCAUGUUGCAGCAUAUCACAGCUGCCAUUAAGAGCACCAUUGACUUGGAGUGGUUCAGGUGUACUGGUUGUUCACUUCACUACCAAGGAAUAGUAGAUGGUAUUGUGAGAUGUCUCACAAGAAUUUACAUUCCUUAUUGGUGUAAGCGAACAAACAGGUUGAUGACUGAAUCAGCCAGGCAAAGGGCCACAAAGAGGAAGAAUAAGAUACUGACAAAUCAGUAAGUCAUUAGGAAAGUAAUGCUUCUUCAUCUUUGCCUUGUAAUAUCCUGCCCAUACCAGCCCUGGAAAUUGGCAGAGAGCAGUUGUUGAAUUACUGGAAUAAUAUAUUCCAAUUGCUCACAAGAGCAUCUAUAGAUGUUUCAUAAGUUGGAGAAAGUAACCCUGAUGACAAGCAACUGCAACUGCAACUGCCAUGCCUUCACAUGCUCUUGUCUCAAACCUCUGGUAUUGAGUAAUUUGUUGAUAACAUUAUCACCUAGAGUCGGAUUACGUACAAGAAACCUAUUCUGAUCUUGAGCUCCCUCUCCUUGCUUUGGAGACCUGUUUCCUUCUUCCCAGAGUAUUAGAACAUCAUUGUCAGAAGAUGAUCAGAGUUCAUUCUGCCCUAUAUCUGAAAAUAAUUAUAUUUCAGUCAAGAAUUGUGUGGGAAAUUCUUUUCUGACUCAAAUGGUUCGUGUUUAUAUGUGGGUAAGAGUGAAGUGGCAUUAUUUUAUAAUUGACUUGCAAUCUUCAGGUUGCCUGAUUCAGCAUGAAACACUGAGGAGCAGAAUCAAUGUCAGGAUUCAGUGUAUAUUUUGUAACUAAAUUUAUUAACAACUUCCUAGGUAGGAAGUUUUACUUAUUAGUGUCUACAUAUUUUAUUCAUCUAAUUUGUUAUUAUGGGUAUAUCCCUUCAGUCAUUGCAUUAUUUUUGCCAUUUGAUUGUGUUCAGCAUUGAGCUUAUGAACAUAAAUAUAUAAACAUCAGAUUUUUAAGGUUCA
Long non-coding RNA from Cryptotermes secundus, 1667 nucleotides. RefSeq lists it as uncharacterized. The record is from RefSeq and is a predicted model, not a curated record. The transcript is spliced from 3 exons. Lineage: Eukaryota; Metazoa; Arthropoda; Insecta; Blattodea; Kalotermitidae.